UUGCUUCGGGUGUGAUUGGCACCCGUCUCGGAGGCCUCCUCACUACCACGCAGCGAAGCCGACUAGUCCCCUGCCCAGAGCCAGGUUCACCUAAACUCCCGCGGACAGCCUCCUUUUUCGUCCCCCACCCCCCAGUGUCGCGACUCUAAGGGUUCCGCUCUGCGGCGGAGGCGGGACCGGAGGCGGGAAUGAGGGUACGGGGCCAGACGUCGUCACAGGCGGGAGGCGGGGCGGCCUCCUUACCUGUGCCCCUCAGGGUUCCAAGGGUUCCACUCUGCGGUAGGGGCGGAGGUGGGGUGGAGGCGGGGCAGGAGGGGCCAAGGCGCCCAGGUGGCCUCGGCUGGGGCUGACAGCCGGCUGGGGAGAGAAGGGACUCGGAGGAACGUGGUUCCCGCCGGUUGCUGAUUUCUCAGCGGCUCUCCCGGACCGCCCCCUUUUCCUUCCCCCUCAGGCCACGACUUGGAGGGUUCCGCUCUGCAGCGGGAGCGGGGCCAGGGACGGGUCUGAGCGCGGCCUGGGCGGGCUGGACUCUUUUUCCCGCCCGGGGGACCUCUUUCCGACCGCCGGGACGUAAAAGGGGCUCGGCAGGGGCGUCCUCGCUCUAGCGUCCCGGGUCCCGCCAGCGUCGGGAGCCCAGCGGGCCCGGCCUAGGCGGGACCUUUGUCGCGCCAGCCCCCGUCCCCUCCCCCGCGCCUCUGGUUGGCUUGCUUUCCAGCCAGACUUUGGGGCUAGCGUUUAGAAAAGUCUCGACCUCCUCCGGCCCAGCCCCAUCCCGAGAACUGACUGAGGCUGUGAGUGUCCAGGAACCAGGCCCGCUUGGAGGCCAGAGCCUCGACGUCCCGCGCCCACGCGGCAGAGUGGGCUCUGCGGCCCAGGAGACUCGGGGAGAUGCGGAGCAGGAGCAAUUCCGGGGUCCGCUUGGACGGGUACGCGCGGCUGGUGCAGCAAACCAUCCUGUGUUACCAGAAUCCCGUCACGGGGCUGCUGUCAGCCAGCCAUGAGCAGAAGGAUGCCUGGGUGCGGGAUAACAUCUACAGUAUCCUGGCCGUGUGGGGCCUGGGCAUGGCCUACCGCAAGAAUGCGGACCGCGAUGAGGACAAGGCCAAGGCCUACGAGCUGGAGCAGAACGUGGUGAAGCUGAUGCGAGGUCUUCUCCAGUGCAUGAUGAGACAGGUGGCCAAAGUGGAGAAGUUCAAACACACUCAGAGCACCAAGGACAGCCUGCACGCCAAGUACAACACCGCCACCUGUGGCACAGUGGUGGGCGAUGACCAGUGGGGCCACCUCCAGGUGGAUGCCACCUCUCUCUUCCUCCUGUCCCUGGCCCAGAUGACUGCCUCAGGCUUACGUAUCAUUUUUACCCUCGACGAGGUGGCCUUCAUACAGAAUCUUGUCUUUUACAUAGAAGCUGCAUAUAAAGUUGCUGAUUAUGGAAUGUGGGAGCGUGGAGAUAAGACUAAUCAGGGCAUCCCGGAGUUGAACGCAAGCUCCGUAGGAAUGGCCAAGGCAGCUCUUGAGGCAAUUGAUGAACUGGACCUUUUUGGAGCCCAUGGAGGACGCAAGUCAGUGAUUCACGUCCUGCCGGAUGAGGUCGAGCACUGCCAGUCUAUUCUGUUCUCCAUGCUGCCAAGAGCAUCAACAUCUAAAGAGAUUGAUGCUGGACUUCUUUCCAUUAUUUCCUUUCCGGCCUUUGCAGUAGAAGAUGUAAACCUUGUGAAUGUGACCAAAAAUGAAAUUAUUUCUAAGCUCCAGGGGCGUUAUGGAUGCUGUCGCUUCCUUCGAGAUGGUUAUAAAACUCCAAGAGAGGACCCUAAUCGACUGCAUUAUGACCCUGCUGAACUCAAGCUCUUUGAAAACAUUGAAUGUGAGUGGCCUGUGUUCUGGACAUAUUUUAUAAUAGAUGGAGUCUUCAAUGGUGAUGCUGUUCAGGUCCAAGAGUACCGAGAGGCCCUAGAGGGAAUACUCAUCAGAGGCAAGAAUGGGAUCCGCCUGGUGCCAGAACUCUAUGCUGUCCCACCUAACAAGGUAGAUGAAGAGUACAAGAACCCUCACACUGUGGACCGAGUUCCUAUGGGGAAGGUGCCUCAUCUGUGGGGCCAAUCCUUGUACAUCCUCAGCUCACUGUUGGCAGAGGGAUUCCUUGCCACUGGUGAAAUCGAUCCCUUAAAUAGAAGAUUUUCCACUUCAGUCAAACCUGAUGUUGUGGUACAAGUUACUGUUUUGGCAGAAAACAAUCACAUUAAGGACUUGCUGAGGAAACACGGGGUGAACGUCCAGAGUAUCGCGGACAUUCAUCCAAUUCAAGUCCAGCCAGGCCGGAUUCUUAGUCACAUAUAUGCCAAGCUUGGACGGAAUAAGAAUAUGAAUUUGAGUGGGCGACCAUAUCGACAUAUUGGCGUCCUUGGAACUUCUAAACUAUAUGUGAUUAGGAACCAAAUCUUUACUUUUACCCCCCAGUUCACUGACCAGCAUCACUUCUACCUGGCCCUCGAUAAUGAGAUGAUCGUGGAGAUGCUGAGGAUCGAGCUGGCCUACCUGUGCACCUGCUGGAGGAUGACGGGCAGACCCACGCUCACCUUCCCCAUCAGCCGCACCAUGCUCACAAAUGAUGGUUCAGACAUUCAUUCUGCUGUGCUUUCCACAAUUAGAAAACUAGAGGAUGGGUAUUUUGGAGGAGCCAGAGUAAAAUUGGGGAACCUUUCGGAAUUUCUCACCACAUCGUUCUAUACAUAUCUGACCUUCCUGGAUCCAGACUGUGAUGAGAAGUUGUUUGACUAUGACAGUGAAGGGACUUUUAGUCCCGAUAGUGAUUCAGAUUUGGGAGGAUAUCGGGAAGACACCUGUAAUCAAGAAAGCCAAGACGAACUUGACCAGUAUAUCAACCACCUUCUGCAGAGCACAUCCUUGAGGUGCUAUCUGCCUCCUCUUCGUAAGAACACAGAAGACCGCCAUGUCUUCAGUGCUAUCCACUCCACGCGGGACAUACUUUCUGUGAUGGCAAAAGCAAAGGGUUUGGAAGUUCCAUUUGUUCCCAUGACUUUACCGACUAAAGUUCUAAGUGCCCACCGUAAAUCACUGAAUCUUGUCGAUUCUCCUCAGCCACUGCUAGGAAAGGUUCCUGAAAGUGACUUCCAGUGGCCCAGAGAUGACCAUGGUGACGUGGACUGUGAGAAGCUGGUUGAGCAGCUGAAAGAUUGUUCGAACCUACAGGACCAAGCAGACAUUCUGUACAUUCUUUAUGUCAUCAAGGGUCCCAGCUGGGACACAAAUCUCUCUGGACAGCACGGGGUCACCGUUCAAAACCUUCUCAGCGAGCUCUAUGGGAAAGCUGGCUUGAACCAGGAGUGGGGUCUGAUUCGCUACAUCUCAGGCCUGCUCAGGAAGAAAGUGGAGGUCCUGGCCGAGGCCUGCACGGACCUGCUAUCACACCAGAAGCAGCUCACCGUGGGCCUGCCACCCGAGCCCCGGGAGAAGAUCAUCUCUGCGCCCCUUCCCCCGGAGGAGCUCACAAAACUCAUCUACGAGGCCAGCGGGCAGGACAUCAGCAUCGCCGUCCUCACACAGGAGAUUGUGGUUUACCUGGCCAUGUAUGUGAGAGCACAGCCCAGCCUCUUUGUGGAGAUGCUGAGACUCCGGAUUGGACUGAUCAUUCAGGUGAUGGCCACAGAGCUGGCACGGAGCCUGAACUGCUCAGGAGAAGAAGCUUCUGAAAGUUUAAUGAACCUCAGCCCUUUCGAUAUGAAAAAUCUCCUGCACCAUAUUCUAAGUGGGAAAGAGUUUGGUGUUGAAAGAAGCGUGCGCCCUAUCCACUCCUCAACAUCCAGCCCUGCCAUCUCCAUCCACGAGGUGGGCCAUACCGGAGUCACCAAAACCGAGAGGAGUGGCAUUAACAGACUGAGGAGUGAGAUGAAACAGAUGACUAGGCGAUUUAGUGCUGAUGAACAGUUGUUUUCUGUGGGCCAGGCUGCGUCCAGCAGUGCGCAUUCCUCCAAGUCUGCGGUAACCGUGCCUCGGGAUCAUUGUGUCCGUCCCCGCUCCUCCUCGCGUCCUUCCUCGUGUUGCCACCUCAUGCCCAACUUAGGUCCAGCACCCCAUCCUCACCCACUGGGACAUCAUCCUCAGACUCGGGAGGACAUCACAUCGGCUGGGGGGAGCGGCAGGGCCAGUGGCUGCGCCGGAGAAGGCUGGAUGGGGCCAUCAACAGGGUCCCCGUGGGAUUCUACCAGAAGGUGUGGAAGAUCCUCCAGAAGUGCCACGGUCUCUCCAUCGAUGGUUACGUCCUACCAUCCUCGACGACCCGAGAGAUGACCCCGCAUGAGAUCAAGUUUGCUGUCCAUGUCGAGUCAGUGCUGAACCGCGUGCCCCAGCCCGAGUACCGGCAGCUGCUGGUGGAGGCCAUCAUGGUGCUGACGCUGCUCUCGGACACGGAGAUGACCAGCAUCGGGGGCAUCAUCCACGUGGACCAGAUUGUGCAGAUGGCCAGUCAGCUGUUCUUGCAGGACCAGGUGUCGAUCGGAGCCAUGGACACCCUGGAGAAAGACCAAGCCACGGGAAUCUGCCACUUCUUUUACGACAGUGCACCGAGUGGGGCUUAUGGGACCAUGACCUACCUAACAAAAGCAGUGGCUUCUCAUCUGCAGGAAUUGUUGCCCAAUUCGGGCUGCCAGAUGCAGUAGGGUCUCGCCUAGAAACAUGACCACACUCUGAAUCUGUCACAUGGCACCUAGCCUUAUUGGGAACCUUCUUAUCCCCCCCCCAAGAUCCCCUGGGCUAUCAGGAAAGCAUGUCCCAUCAAAAACACUCACAGCGGGGCGCUGGCAGCACUCACCCUGUGACUGAUGUCUGUUAAAGCCUCAGAGAUAGAUAGAGCUGAGGAAUCCUCUGCUCCCCUAGCGAGCGCCUGGGAUCAUUUUCUAGGUUCAUUUCGCUGGAACAUUUGUCGCAGCAUCUGGUCUUACGGACUCUGAGGAGGAAUUGGAAAUUGGUCUCUUUUGAGUGCAGAGGGAACUGAGAAGCCAGCUUAAAUUGGCUCUUGCAGAGAGUUACAGAAAUAGUUUCGAUGAGCUAGUGCCACAUCCUAAGAUGCAAAGAUUCUCUGGAGGCAGUAGCCAGACAAGCAGACCUUGACAAGGGCCACCUCUUCACAGGAUGCAGUCAGUCUGUGCACCAAACUCUUCACCAAAUAGAAUGCGUGCGUUGCUGUGGAACUGGGGUUUUCUUGUGCCUUGCUUGCUUUCGUAGCCUUGUGUUGUACUGGCACGGCUGCCUUCAUGUAGCAUAAUUCUCUAUUCCUAAGACUUAGAAAAUUCCUCUUCAUUCACCUUGGCUCCUGGUCUUAAAGGGUUUUUAUCCUGGCUUCCCAUGAACUGGGGUUUUCUCUUGCCUUAGGAAAAAUCCCGAAUCUUCUGGAAUCCAG
Molecule: non-coding RNA, 5416 nt
Organism: Saimiri boliviensis boliviensis (Bolivian squirrel monkey)
Lineage: Eukaryota; Metazoa; Chordata; Mammalia; Primates; Cebidae
Source: RefSeq, a predicted model, not a curated record